This 286-nucleotide unclassified non-coding RNA is filed under the name uncultured fungus. RNAcentral describes it as "partial contains 5.8S ribosomal RNA, internal transcribed spacer 2, and large subunit ribosomal RNA". Lineage: Eukaryota; Fungi. The record is from RNAcentral.
AACGCACAUUGCGCCCGCCAGCACUCUGGCGGGCAUGCCUGUCCGAGCGUCAUUUCAACCCUCGCCGCCCCGACCUCGCGUCGCGGGCGCGGUGUUGGGGACCGGCCCACCCACCCCCCGCCACUGGGCGCGGGCGGUGGCCGCCCCCGAAAUCCAUUGGCGGUCGCGCCGCCGGCCCCCUGCGUAGUAGACCUACCCCGCAGCGGGACGCGCCGCGGCCACGCCGUAAAGCCCCCGACCAUCAAAGGUUGACCUCGGAUCAGGUAGGGAUACCCGCUGAACUUAA